RNAcentral lists this ribosomal RNA (449 nucleotides) under uncultured bacterium. RNAcentral describes it as "partial 16S ribosomal RNA". It matches the Rfam family "Bacterial small subunit ribosomal RNA", at positions 29 to 523 of the family's 1533-position model. The record is from RNAcentral.
AACGAACGCUGGCGGUAUGCCUAACACAUGCAAGUCGAACGAGAUCUUCGGGUCUAGUGGCGCACGGGUGCGUAACGCGUGGGAAUCUGCCCUUUGGUUCGGAAUAACAGUUGGAAACGACUGCUAAUACCGGAUGAUGACGAAAGUCCAAAGAUUUAUCGCCAGAGGAUGAGCCCGCGUAGGAUUAGCUAGUUGGUGUGGUAAAGGCGCACAAAGGCGACGAUCCUUAGCUGGUCUGAGAGGAUGAUCAGCCACACUGGGACUGAGACACGGCCCAGACUCCUACGGGAGGCAGCAGUGCGGAAUAUUGGACAAUGGGCGAAAGCCUGAUCCAGCAAUGCCGCGUGAGUGAUGAAGGCCUUAGGGUUGUAAAGCUCUUUUACCCGGGAUGAUAAUGACAGUACCGGGAGAAUAAGCUCCGGCUAACUCCGUGCCAGCCGCCGCCGUAA